RNAcentral lists this RNase P RNA (348 nucleotides) under Anaerosacchariphilus polymeriproducens. Its description in RNAcentral is "Bacterial RNase P class A". It matches the Rfam family "Bacterial RNase P class A". Rfam says of the family: Ribonuclease P (RNase P) is a ubiquitous endoribonuclease, found in archaea, bacteria and eukarya as well as chloroplasts and mitochondria. Its best characterised activity is the generation of mature 5'-ends of tRNAs by cleaving the 5'-leader elements of precursor-tRNAs. Lineage: Bacteria; Bacillati; Bacillota; Clostridia; Lachnospirales; Lachnospiraceae. The record is from Rfam by way of RNAcentral.
UAAGUAAGAUAAGUGAUCGCAGCUACAAGUGUCGAAAGACCGUAGGUGAGGAAAGUCCGGGCUUCAUAGGGCAGGAUGCCGGAUAACGUCCGGUGGAGGUGACUCCAAGGCCAGUGCAACAGAAAUAUACCGCCAGUAUUUUACUGGUAAGGGUGGAAGGGUAGAGUAAGAGCCUACCGCCUUCUUGGUAACAAGGAGGGCACAUGUAAACCCCAUUCGAAGCAAAACCGAAUAAAAGCGAUAACGUGGCCCGCUAGCUUUAGGUAGGUUGCUUGAGGUGAUUGGUGACAAUCAUCCUAGAUAGAUGAUCACUCACGACAUAACCCGGCUUAUCGUCUUGCUUAUUUU